This 201-nucleotide long non-coding RNA is filed under the name Elaeis guineensis (African oil palm). RNAcentral's name for it is "long non-coding RNA (EGUI_LNC078996)". Lineage: Eukaryota; Viridiplantae; Streptophyta; Magnoliopsida; Arecales; Arecaceae. The record is from RNAcentral.
CCAGACUUUUUCCAGCCAGGUUCAACUCCAAUCCGAACUACCCCGGACUCCGCCAACGGCUGAACUUCUCCAACGGUAUAUUCCUACAACUACCAGAUUUCAGCCCGGACUCCUACGGGAGCCGGAUCUCAUCCCCGACCUCGACUGCGGAAAGGCUUCGCCCGGACUCCUACGGAAACCAGGCUCCGUCCUCGACCCCGA